GGGUUGUGAGGUUAAGCGACUAAGCGUACACGGUGGAUGCCCUGGCAGUCAGAGGCGAUGAAGGACGUGCUAAUCUGCGAUAAGCGUCGGUAAGGUGAUAUGAACCGUUAUAACCGGCGAUUUCCGAAUGGGGAAACCCAGUGUGAUUCGUCACACUAUCGUUAACUGAAUACAUAGGUUAACGAAGCGAACCGGGGGAACUGAAACAUCUAAGUACCCCGAGGAAAAGAAAUCAACCGAGAUUCCCCCAGUAGCGGCGAGCGAACGGGGAGCAGCCCAGAGUCUGAAUCAGCUUGUGUGUUAGUGGAACGGUCUGGAAAGUCCGACGGUACAGGGUGAUAGUCCCGUACACCAAAAUGCACAGGUUGUGAACUCGAAGAGUAGGGCGGGACACGUGGUAUCCUGUCUGAAUAUGGGGGGACCAUCCUCCAAGGCUAAAUACUCCUGACUGACCGAUAGUGAACCAGUACCGUGAGGGAAAGGCGAAAAAGAACCCCGGCGAGGGGAGUGAAAAAAGAACCUGAAACCGUGUACGUACAAGCAGUGGGAGCCUCUUUAUGGGGUGACUGCGUACCUUUUGUAUAAUGGGUCAGCGACUUAUAUUCUGUAGCAAGGUUAACCGUAUAGGGGGAGCCGAAGGGAAACCGAGUCUUAACUGGGCGUUAAGUUGCAGGGUAUAGACCCGAAACCCGGUGAUCUAGCCAUGGGCAGGUUGAAGGUUGGGUAACACUAACUGGAGGACCGAACCGACUAAUGUUGAAAAAUUAGCGGAUGACUUGUGGCUGGGGGUGAAAGGCCAAUCAAACCGGGAGAUAGCUGGUUCUCCCCGAAAGCUAUUUAGGUAGCGCCUCGUGAACUCAUCUUCGGGGGUAGAGCACUGUUUCGGCUAGGGGGUCAUCCCGACUUACCAACCCGAUGCAAACUGCGAAUACCGAAGAAUGUUAUCACGGGAGACACACGGCGGGUGCUAACGUCCGUCGUGAAGAGGGAAACAACCCAGACCGCCAGCUAAGGUCCCAAAGUCAUGGUUAAGUGGGAAACGAUGUGGGAAGGCACAGACAGCCAGGAUGUUGGCUUAGAAGCAGCCAUCAUUUAAAGAAAGCGUAAUAGCUCACUGGUCGAGUCGGCCUGCGCGGAAGAUGUAACGGGGCUAAACCAUGCACCGAAGCUGCGGCAGCGACACUAUGUGUUGUUGGGUAGGGGAGCGUUCUGUAAGCCGUUGAAGGUGUGCUGUGAGGCAUGCUGGAGGUAUCAGAAGUGCGAAUGCUGACAUAAGUAACGAUAAUGCAGGUGAAAAACCCGCACGCCGGAAGACCAAGGGUUCCUGUCCAACGUUAAUCGGGGCAGGGUGAGUCGACCCCUAAGGCGAGGCCGAAAGGCGUAGUCGAUGGGAAACAGGUUAAUAUUCCUGUACUUGGUGUUACUGCGAAGGGGGGACGGAGAAGGCUAUGUUAGCCGGGCGACGGUUGUCCCGGUUUAAGCAUGUAGGCGGAGGUUCCAGGUAAAUCCGGUACCUUUUUAACGCUGAGGUGUGAUGACGAGGCACUACGGUGCUGAAGUAACAAAUGCCCUGCUUCCGGGAAAAAGCCUCUAAGCAUCAGGUAACACGAAAUCGUACCCCAAACCGACACAGGUGGUCAGGUAGAGAAUACCAAGGCGCUUGAGAGAACUCGGGUGAAGGAACUAGGCAAAAUGGUGCCGUAACUUCGGGAGAAGGCACGCUGAUAUGUAGGUGAAGUGAUUUACUCAUGGAGCUGAAAUCAGUCGAAGAUACCAGCUGGCUGCAACUGUUUAUUAAAAACACAGCACUGUGCAAACACGAAAGUGGACGUAUACGGUGUGACGCCUGCCCGGUGCCGGAAGGUUAAUUGAUGGGGUUAUCCGUAAGGAGAAGCUCUUGAUCGAAGCCCCGGUAAACGGCGGCCGUAACUAUAACGGUCCUAAGGUAGCGAAAUUCCUUGUCGGGUAAGUUCCGACCUGCACGAAUGGCGUAAUGAUGGCCAGGCUGUCUCCACCCGAGACUCAGUGAAAUUGAACUCGCUGUGAAGAUGCAGUGUACCCGCGGCAAGACGGAAAGACCCCGUGAACCUUUACUAUAGCUUGACACUGAACACUGGUCCUUGAUGUGUAGGAUAGGUGGGAGGCUUUGAAGUGUGGACGCCAGUCUGCAUGGAGCCAUCCUUGAAAUACCACCCUUUAAUGGCUGGUGUUCUAACGUGGACCCGUUACCCGGGUUGCGGACAGUGUCUGGUGGGUAGUUUGACUGGGGCGGUCUCCUCCUAAAGAGUAACGGAGGAGCACGAAGGUUAGCUAAUCCUGGUCGGACAUCAGGAGGUUAGUGCAAAGGCAUAAGCUAGCUUGACUGCGAGAGUGACGGCUCGAGCAGGUGCGAAAGCAGGUCUUAGUGAUCCGGUGGUUCUGAAUGGAAGGGCCAUCGCUCAACGGAUAAAAGGUACUCCGGGGAUAACAGGCUGAUACCGCCCAAGAGUUCAUAUCGACGGCGGUGUUUGGCACCUCGAUGUCGGCUCAUCACAUCCUGGGGCUGAAGUAGGUCCCAAGGGUAUGGCUGUUCGCCAUUUAAAGUGGUACGCGAGCUGGGUUUAGAACGUCGUGAGACAGUUCGGUCCCCUAUCUGCCGUGGGCGCUGGAGAAUUGAGGGGGGCUGCUCCUAGUACGAGAGGACCGGAGUGGACGCAUCACUGGUGUUCGGGUUGUCAUGCCAAUGGCAUUGCCCGGUAGCUAAAUGCGGAAGAGAUAAGUGCUGAAAGCAUCUAAGCACGAAACUUGCCCCGAGAUGAGUUCUCCCUGAGACUAUAAGUCUCCUGAAGGAACGUUGAAGACGACGACGUUGAUAGGUCGGGUGUGUAAGUGUAGCGAUACAUUGAGCUAACCGAUACUAAUGAACCGUGAGGCUUAACCUUACAACGCCGAAG
This 2933-nucleotide ribosomal RNA is filed under the name Citrobacter freundii. Its description in RNAcentral is "23S ribosomal RNA". It matches the Rfam family "Bacterial large subunit ribosomal RNA". Lineage: Bacteria; Pseudomonadati; Pseudomonadota; Gammaproteobacteria; Enterobacterales; Enterobacteriaceae. The record is from RNAcentral.